AUUUCGGGGCUGUCAUCACCAGAAACGCCGGCUGCCGGCCGCCCACCAGCUCGGCUCCAGCCAGCAAGGCUUCCCGUGAGCGGCCCGGGUGUGCUCUGGCUGCUGCUUCCCCUUGUGUCUGUCCCUGAAAUAAACACAACUGCAGCACGCUGCGGUAAGCAAAGCUGCAGCCUUGCAUCUGGUUGCAGCGACGUUUUGAAAAACCCCAUCCGUCAGCCUCGUUGCAGUAAAGAGACUCAACAAGAGGACGCUUGUCUGGGCUUUUUCUUCCCUGCCUUCCACACGCAUGGUGGUAUCUGCAUUUUUACUUUUCCCUCCCAGAAAUGCAGUCUUUUCAAGGGGCAUCGGAGCCCGAACGUGUGCACUCUAAGGGGACAGUACACACUGCUUAGUUGGCUUGUUUUUGUAAUGUCACACACUCCACAAUGGAUCUUAUUCUCAAACCUCUCAUUUCUAAGACUCACUAAGCCCAGUGAAGCUUAUUUUAUUUGUAUGAAAAGGAUAAGAAGCAAAAGCAUUAGAUUCCUUGCUCUACAAUGGCUCUUGAUUUCAUGAAUUCUUGAUAUCAGGUGUCCUGAUUUUGGUUAGCUUUGUUUCACAUUAUCAUUUAGCUUGACCAGGGGAUUAAAUAAGAGUAUUAUAUUUUAAUAAUGACAGGUUAUGUUGGAAGAGGUGGGAUUUGGCCAACUAUCUCAUAAACCACAGGAUCCUUCCCAAGUCCCAGUACAUUCAUGAUUAAUGUUGUCUAAAAAACAGAAAAAAGUAAUAAACCAUGUUAAUAAGUAUUUAACAUAGCAAAUGUUGGGCUAACUCCCCAAAUCAACACACAAACAGGACUUCCUAGAUUAACAGUUCAUUUUAAAAAUGGAAGGGAAAGACUACAAUGUACUUUUAUUGUUAGGACAAAGAAUUUUUAAAAUUCAACACUAAAUAAAACUUCUAGAACUAUGUUCUGAAAGGCCCUAAGAUACUUCAUCAAUACAAUUAGUUUUUCAAACUCAUUACACUUACCCAAAUGGCAAGCACUCAAUCACUCAGAUUUCCAACUCCACUUAUACACUUUAUUCUGAUGAAAUCUCUCACCAGAUUGACUUCUUUUUAAUUCAUGUGCAUACUAGAGUUGCUGAACUGAUUUUAUCACUUGUACUUUGAAUGUAUGGAUUCUAGGUAAAAUAAGACCCAAAGGUUUUACCUUGAAACAAUUAUUAUAUCUGAAAAUAAAUUUCAUACCUACGCCCAUCUGAUGCUUGCCAAGACUCAGAUGGCAGUGAAUGAACAGGUAGGCUGCACAGUGCCCUGCGAUUAACGAUGGCAUGGGCUCUCAAGGCAGGGCCCCAUGUUCGCUCCUGGCACCAGCCCUUACUAGCUUUGAGCCCCAAAGUAAGCUAUUAACUUUGCUAAGCCUUCGUUUCCUCAUCUGUAAAAUGGGGUUGUACCUUCUUCCUAUAGUUGUUGGAAACAAUAAAUAACACUAUGUAUGAAAGGGGCUCAGCAUAGUAUCUUGCCCAUAGUUAACACUUCAUUAAAUUUUAGCUACAUUGAUUUUUUUUUUUUUUUUUUUUUUGAGACAAUCUCACUCUGUCGCCUGGGCUGGAAUGCAGUGGUGCAAUCUUGGCUCACUGCAACCUCUGCCUCCCGGGUUCAAGCGAUUCUCCUGCCUCAGCCUUCUGAGUAGCUGGGGUGACAGGCAUGCGCCACCAUGCCCGGCUAAUUUUUGUAUUUUUAGUAGAAAUAGGGUUUCACAGUGUUGGCUGGGGUGAUCUUGAACUCCUGACCUCAGGUGAUCCACCUGCCUUGGUCUCCCAAAGUACAGACAUGAGCCACUGCGCCUGGCCCAUUCAUUCUUAUUAUGAAUCCUUAGUGACUCUAGAAUAGAACUUUUUUUUAAAAAGCUAAAUACUUUUUUUUCUUUACUCUUUAUGUGGUUUAAAAGAUAUAUUACUUUUGAACACCAGUGGUAACUAUUUGGGGAGAGCAAGUUGGAGACAUUUAAAAUCAGUUGCAAUAAGCAAACAUGCUAUUGUAUAUUGUUACUCAAAUAUAUAGAGAUUCUCUCUGUUGACUUUAUUUUAAAAAAUUUUUAACUGGCUUUUUAAAGUUUUCAAUACUUAAAUACAUAAGUUUUCAGUAUUUAACUACUAUAAACAUACUAACUUGCUGAGAAUGCCACUCAUAUAUAUUUCAAGGGAAACGGUCAUAAAAAUGUAAAUGCUACUUAGAAAAUAAUGUUUUCAAUGCCAUCUAGCUUUCACUGUGAAGAGUGAAUCAGCAUCUAAGAGCCCAGUUUCUGUCUCUUAGAACCUGAAAUCUUGUCCAGUGUAUGCUUUUUCUUCAUUCGAGUACCUUUAAAGAGGACAUAUAUUGUAAAAGAACAGAAAAGGGCUUUUGUUUUGUUGAAAGGCCUGCAAAUCAAAUAGAAUGACACCCGCUGCAAGCUGAGUUGAAACAUUUAUCCUUUUGUCUUCUCUCUCUCUGGGGGGGCAUAAAAAAAUUAGUCAGAAGAGGCACCUGGACAGAGGUACUUUAAAAUGCAACAGUAAAAUCUGAAUGUGUUCCUGGCUUGCUAGUGACUUCAGUUAUGAUUUAAGAGGACCUAAAGCUAUCUCAGCUUUCAUACCUGUAAAAAUGAGGGAUCCUUCCUUAAAAAUAUUAGGAGAACAUACAAUGAAUUGUCAAGCAUGGAAUUAGGCAUAGAUGUUGGGGACUGAGUGAAAGAUAACAGGAAAAGUGGAAGGCCUUAGAAAAUGGUAUCAAAGAGUGGGGAAAAAGUCGGAAAGUGGCCUGACACAAGUGAUGACACUAAAUGACACCAUCUACAUUUGUUGAAUAUAAAUAUUGUAGUUAAAAAAAUAUAUAUUUUUAUAUUUAAUACUCACCUCAAACCUAUGAAGUAAGUACUAUUAUUAGUCCCAUUUUACAGAUGAGAAAAUUGAGGCUUAAGGAGGCAUAAAAUAAGGUCAAACUCAUAUAGCUAGUAAAAUUUAGGUCUAUUUUAGACCCUGAGUCACUUGUCAUAACUUUGUUAUUUAUUUAUUUUUUUAAAAAUCACAAGCAAGGUGAGAAUCAUGGUUACCAAGUUCUUUAGAGAAAGCUCAGGAAGAGGCUGGGCACAGUGGCUCAUGGCUGUAAUCCCAGCAUUUUAGAAGGCCAAGGCGGGUGGAUCACUUGAGGUCAGGAGUUCAGGACCAGCCUGGCCAACAUGGCGAAACGCCAUCUCUACUAAAAAUACAAAAAUUGGCUGGGCGUGGUGGCACCCGCCUGUAAUCCCAGCUACUUGGGAGGCUGAGGCAGGAGAAUCACUUGAACCCAGGAGGCGGAGGUUGCAGUGAGCCUAGAUUCUGUCACUGCACUCCAGCCUGGGCAACAGAGCAAGACUCCAUCUCAAAAAAUAAAAAUAAAUAAAUAAAUAAAAGUUCAGGAAAGAUGCUAAGGUACUCCCUAACACAGCAGAGGCGCUUCAGGUCCCACUGACUCUCCCAGCCUAUUCACUGUCUUCCUGCCUGGCUUUGUCCUGGGUGAUGUAUUCCCUGGGGACUGUAACCAAUUCCAAGAAACCAAGAGAAGAAUGCCUUUAUUUUUUACAUUAAUUUGAUUCAUUAUACAGGCAGUGGUCUCUACAAGGAUGUCUGACCUAGAGUGGAGAUGGGGUGACUGAGGAUGGAAAUCUAGUCUGAACUCCACUCUCCAAUUUGGCAGGUACAGAGGUGGCAGUGGGCUGCUUCUACCCUGGCAUGGGUCUGCAUCAGCCCAGGACUCAAUCCAGAGGAAGGGGUGCCUAUUUUUUUUUUUUUAUCAAGAUACCACAUGGGCUGGUGGUAGCUCUGGGUGGUCAAUGGGAAGGAGGUGGUCAGAAGGAGUGACCUAUUGGUCACCUAUGUACCUAUGUCCUAGCAAGCCAUGUAGCAGAGUGGGAUGAGGGUGGUAAAGGAUACAGAGACUAUAUCUCAUAAUCCAUGGCAUUUACUCUCCUCCUGUCUUGAUCCCAAUUAUAACCAUCUGUCCCGUCUCUCCCUCCAGAAGACCUGUGUCUUACUCAGCUUUGUGUUCCUUACAUCUCUGUAGCACACAGUAAGUCCUCAUGCAAUAAACAUAUGUUGAGUGAAUAAGUGAAUGAGCAAGCUUGUCAUGUCUGACUGUUAUCUGCUGCCUGUGGGAAAAAAAUGUAUAAGAAAUGCAAUUUUUUGUUUUAAUUCAUACUUAGUUUACUCUUUUUUUAAAAGCAUUUUGAAAAUUUUUUUGAGGCUAAAUUGUGUGGCAUUCAAAAAAAAUGUGGAAACAAAGCCUUGCAAACAGUCUGGAUGCAUGCCAACAUCAAGAGCCAUUACCUAAUGAUUUUAAAGCAUCUGAUUGAGUUGAUUGGGUUACGAUUGGAAUCCACCCCCUUUUCUUGUAGACGGAUACACGUGGGUACACAUGUGUAAUUACUGUCACAGAGUGACAUGUACAUUCAUGAACAGAAUGUGUUAGGCAGAAAUGUUUCACUAGCAUCCUGAAGAAACAAAGGAAAAUCACUAAAUGCAAGAAAAUAAUUGCUUUAUCAAUUUUUGAUCAGCAGUCUCAACUUCCAAAAAAGCAUGAACUAUAUUAUAUUCCCACUAUUAUACAUUGUAUCUUAAGAACAGCUCCAAAUCAAAUUAAGCAUCCCCUGAAUUGAGAUAGAAAGACAGCAGUUACAAUCAAUGGUGAUGAGUAUGGAAAAAGGGUUUUGUUUUUCUUUAAACAGUAGAAUAAGAGGCUUUUUAGAGAUAACCUAAAGGACAAAGUGUUGAGAUAAAUAACAAACUUCUCUUUUGACCUAUUUUUGAUGCAUGAUUUGGACGGAUCUAUCCCAUCCUAAGAAAUAUUAGAGAAAAAAUAUGAAAUGAUGCCACACAAUGUCCAUGUGGUAAGCAUCAAACACAAUAAUCAUUACCUUAAAAAAUCCAACCCACAUAUAUAAAUCUUCACAAAAAUAGAUUCAGCAAGUUUUGAAAAACAUUUACUCCAUUACUAUCCACUGCAAAUAAUUUUUUUCAAUGAAUUGAAAUACAUUUAAAUUUUUUGAAUGCAACACAACUUCAUUAUAGCAAAGCUUGUUGUUGUCCAGAUUCAAACAUAAACAAGAAAAAUCAUGUCUUCUAAAAUUGUUAUCAUUGAAACAUAGCAGCAGAACUCAUUUUUUCUUUCCUACUCAGCUCCCCUGCGAAGGGGUUUUAUAAGGAACCCAGAGCCAAGACAAAGGAAUCAGGAGGAAUUCUAGCACAAUGGGAAGCCCCUGAAGGGUUUAAGCAGAAGACAAUAAAAGACUCCGAGAAGUGGCAGCAGGGAGUGGAGGAAAAAAAGCCUGGAAUUUACCCUGCUUUCUGCUCUGCACAUGGAAUGCCCCCUCCAUGUGUCCAUUGUCAUCCAAGGUGUUUUGACAGGUCUAGAGUGGGGUAAAAGAAUGGUAUUUAUUCAGGCCUAAUAUUGAGGCUUGGGGCUGGGCUGUAUAUCAGAGGGCAUGCAUAGACAAAGCUGAACAAAGGGGCACACCUACUGGGCACCUGCUGGGCACUUCUCUAAAAGUGGCACUGAGACAUCAUUAGGAUGAAUUAGAACUAGGGCACCAGUUAACCCGGGCCUGCAUGCUAGUGAAAGGAAAAUUGCGCCUCUCCCUCAACCCUGCUCCAGACAACUGAAUGGUGACUUCAAGAACAAAUAUUCAGGCUGGGUGCGGUGGCUCACACCUGUAAUCCCAACACUUUUGGAGGCUGAGGUGAGUGGAUCACCUGAGGUCAGGAGUUCGAGACUAGCCUGGCCAACAUGGUGAAACCCUGUUUCUACUAAAGAUACAAAAAUUAGCUGGGCGUGGUGGUGGGUGCCAGUAAUCUCAGCUAGGAGGCUGAGGCAGGAGAAUCGCUUGAGCCUGGGAGGCAGAGGUUGUUGAGAUGGUGCCAUUGCACUUCAGCCUGGACGACAAGAGCAUAACUCUGUCUCAAAAAAAAAAAAAAAAAAAAAAGAACAAAUAUUCAAAGGAUAUUAAUUAGAAGGGGAGUGACAUUGUAGACCAGACCAUGCUCCAUCAUAUAAAAGCUGUAUUGUUGGCAAAGUUGUUGAGCAUCUCAUGGCCUCAUUUUCCUCGUCUGUAAACUAGUGCCUUGUCACACAAAUCUGUUAUGAGGAUUACAUGAGUGCCUAGGCAGAUGACAACUGUUAUGUAGCAAAUCUGUAGUGAGAAAUGAACCCAGAAUAUGCAGCACAAAAUGCCUCCUUAACUCCAUAGUCAGGUUAGAAAAAGAGAAGAGAAGGAAAGAGGAGAGAGAGAACCUGUCAUCAUAGAGAGAUCCCUACCCCCAACCCCCUCUGCUGGCUACCAAGGUAAGGUAGACCUGCCCACAAGGCUGGAAGUUUCGGAAAGGUAAAGAAAGUCUAAACACAUGCACAUACAAACACUAUUACUUAACAUUUUAGUAAUAUUAAGUCAUAUAACAUUUGGUGCCCAGGGUAAACUUCCAUUUGAUUAGAGGUUCCGGUUAGGUUAGUAUCAUCUCAAAAUUUACCUAAUUUAGUCUUCUCAUCAACCUCUCAAAGUAGUGUCUGCAUAUUUGGAUAUCAUUAACCUGUAGUCAAAACCAGGAGAUGUUGUGGUUCAUACAUAUUUUGUACACAUAAAGAUUCGACUUCAAUUUCUGCAGAAUAAGGUCAUAGCACACUUAGUAUUUAAUGUAUUUAAAGACAUGUAUGCAAAGAGAAAACAUGACAGCAUUUACCUCAUGCCCCUUAGCAUGAAAGCAUACAACACUAAUGAUAACUUUAUUAUCCUAUUUUUGAAUAUCACCAGCAACCUGAGAAAUUAUUUACGUUCAGAUACAAACAGGUCAAAUAUAAAUGGCCACAAUAGGAGCCAACUAUUAAUACAUAAUUAUAAAAUAUUAAGUCCCUUCUGAAGAAGCAAAAAAUGGCAUUUGCGGCUGGGCACGGUGGCUCACGCCUGUAAUCCCAGCACUUUGGGAGGCCGAGGUGGGUGGAUCACCUGAGGUCAGGAGUUCAAGACCAGCCUGACCAACAUGGUGAAACCCCAUCUCUACUAAAAAUACAAAAUUUAGCUGGGUGUGGUGGCGGGCACCUGUAAUCCCAGCUACUCGGAAGGCUGAGGCGUGAAAAUUGCUUGAACCCGGGAGGUGGAGGUUGUGGUAGGCCGAGAUCCUGCCACUGCACUCCAGCCUGGGUGACACAGCGAGACUCCAUCUCCAAAAAAAAAAAAAAAGGCAUUAACUUUGCAUAUUAUUAUUUACCAAAAAUGCAGAUACAUAAUGCUUAACAGUAUAAAAAACAAUUAUAUUUAUAUCAGUCGUCAUCACCCUUUAGAUUCGCCAUCUACAGGAGAACUAAGAAAAUGCUGGUUCUUCCCUGUAUGAAUGAUAAUCUAGCAAAACAAAAAAAUAGAGCAUUCUCAUAGUUGUAUUAAAGUUAUUGGGUGAUACUCCUAUUAUUUGGUGAUAAAAAUUAAAUACCUUUUAUGGCUAGAGUGAAUAUUCCCACCAAUGUUACCAAUCUGAUACACAAAAAUAAAUAGUAGGGUUUAAGUAAUAAGGGAAAGAUCAACUUUUCCUUAAGAUACCAUUUAAUGUACAUAAUUAUUAAAACCUAUAAUUUUCAAAUCAAUGAAAUUGAGGAAAACUAGAAAUUUUGGAUAGUUUUUUAGCGCAUGCUACUUAAAUUUUACGUUUUUUUCCUUCUAGGUGCUAAAAUUUUUUCUUUCUAGGUAUGACCAUGUUUAUAGUUACCUAUUAGCAAAGGUUGAAGGGCUGGGAAUCAGGAAACUCAUGAUUCUGCUUUUUAUUUUGAUCCCGAUCCUAUAACCUUGGACAUGUUAUUUAUCUACUAAAAGAAGAACACUAUUUCCCAUCCCCAAACUGCCUCAUCUCUUAGGGCAAGCCAAUCUUUGGUUUUCUAUACCACUGGGAGGAACCAUUGCAUAGGAAAAGCAGAACACUGGGUAAUAAAUUAUUCUGUGUAACUCUUUGGCAAACAUUAUUUAAUUUUUUGGCAACAGAUUCACCUUCUUGGUUAUGUUCUAAUAAAGCUCAUGUCAAGAGUAUCCAUGAAAACACACACUGUCUACUGGCAGGAGAAGCUGACAUAGGACCAAAAAAUAAUUGGGGAUUAGAAAGCGAUAAAUCAAUAUAAAAACGAUCAAGCUGUCUACUGUGAAAUUAAUGAAGUAGUAUCAAAGUGCUUUGUUCAGCUUAGAGGAAAAGCAAUAGAAACUAUAUAACUAGACAAUUCUUGUAAACCAGGAAUAAACAAUAGUCACACGCCAGGUUAUUACAACUGAGAUUAAGGACAGUGGUCUAAGGAAUUAAGGAUAUGUUACAGCAUCACUUCAUUUGGAACUACCACUUUAAAAAGAAGUGUAUACCUCACUGAGCAUCACAGAUUUCACCUUCAAAGACUUCAAAAUGACCAUCUGUUCAUGGAGCUGUCUGGUACAGACCCCAGGUUUCUGCCUUUUAGAAGAUGGUGGUCUAAGCCCGACAACAGUGGAGCAGAAAAACCCAUACAUCACCUUUCCUCCCACAGACGAUGUUUAACCGUACAGUAGUAGAAAAUGUGACUCUGAAGGAGCAAGUAUAUUUUAGAGGACAGAGAAAGUCUUACAAGGCGUGUUUUUAGAAAGGGUGGGAAAUCACCACCCUCCUUUGACCAGACAGGCAGGGCUUUGUGUAGGAGGGUGGGGCUGUCAGAAACUGUCUGAAUGAUGGAAGGCAGCAGCUUAGCAGGCUAGUGGGAAGAGCGACUCCAACUGCACGGCUCAGCUUAGGAGGCAGAAGUGAGGUCAAGAGUAAUGAUCUUUGCAGACCGUCCACAGGGGUGAGAUCACUCUGAGAAGCCCAAGGAAACAGAAGUGGAGGGUCAUGAUUCUGACCCUCAGUGUUAGCUGUGGAGAAACUCAAGCUCAUGGUCAGAUAAACCCUGCUCCACCCAGUAAUGGCCUCAGUGAUCCACUUAUGUGUUUGACCUAUUUCUUUCUCAUUUAUAAGGUACACAUGAUUCUGCCCUUUACAUAAGGUUGUUUCAUGAUCUUAAAGGAGAUUAUGUAGAUGAAAGGGCUUUGUAUUCCCAGGAUGCUAAUGUUAGAUUCUCAGGGCUCCCAUCAGUGUAAGAAUCAGACAAAUAAGAGGGUGAGUGGUCCCUGCUCAGCCCAUCGCCCUUAAAGACACAUGCUGGCACCUUCCCUCAUUGUAAUAGCCUGCUGGACUUUUAGUUUUGGGUUUAGGGACAUGCCAGGGGUGUCCUGCUGUUUAAGUGGCCAUUCAUCAACUCCAGGAAUGUGCUGGUGGUUUGCCUGAGUCUUAUCCAAAUGCCACUCUGGCCUUUGGAUAAAUACAGGAUGGGUGGCAACUGUGGUCAAAUUACUACUCCACCCUACCACAAGCCUUAUUUUCCACCUUCUUUGCUCCUCAAGGGAGUUUCCCCUUUUUCUUAUCCUUUAAAAUUAUUUUUAAAUAUUUAUUUGUCUAUGAAUUCUUAUAUCCUUACCUUGGUAUAUGAUUUUCCCAUAUAUAAUUUAUAUUUUGUGUUCAUUACAACAAGGGGUAGCAGAAGCAUAAGGGAAGGGACAUGGACAUGGGCCUUCACCAGACUUCUGGAUGAAAGAUGAGAUGACUAGACAAUUCCAAUAGUGAGAAAUGUAUUAGGAAAAAGGCUGAAUACAGAAUAAGCACAGCAAUAUGCUCUCCUUUGGCUUUAUAUCUACACUUCCAGAGGAGGAAACUGAAAUUUAUCAGGGUAGGUCCCGCAGCAGAGUAAUGACAGUAACAGUAACAGUGAUUACUACUGGUCCUGUGAUAACAACAAGAUUGGAACUCCGAUCUGGUGCUAAGCCAGUGAUGUCCAACAGAAAUGCAAUGCGAACCACACACGCAGUGUUCAAUUUUUAAGUAGCUACAUUAAAAUAACCAACAAGCAGGUGAAAUUAAUUUUAAUAAUCUGUUUUGUUUAACCCAAUAUGCCAAAAAUCAUUUCAAUAAUUAAUGAAUAUAAAAAAUAUUAGUGAGACAUUUAAUAUUUUUUGUACCAAAUAGUUGGAAUCCAGUGGGUAUUUGACAGCACAUCUGCAUUUGGACUAGCCACAUCCAUCUUGCAGCCAUUGUACACAAUAUUGUACACAAUAGCUACAAGUGGCUAAUGGCUCCCUUAUUGGACAGUGUAGUCUAGCAUGUUCCUAAGUAUUUUUGUGCCAUGAGCCCUUUUGGCAGUCUGGCGAAGCCCAUGAGUUCCUUCUCAGAAUAAUGUGUUUACAUGAAUAAAAUGUGGAAGACACAGGGUGACAAAGAAAGCAAUUAUUUUGAAACAUAGUUAUUCAACUAUUUAAAAAAACACAAAAUUGUGGUAUCGUAUAUACCUGCUUCUUCAAAUGGUGCUUUAAAUAACAUUAUCCAGAGGCGUAAUAAUUAUAAGAAAUUUUAAAUAAAAGAAUGAUCAUAAAUAAUAUUUCAAUAUGCCUAAAGCAACUGUAGUGAUGAUGAAAAUAUCUGUGACUUCAACUGAUAGCAAAUUAACUUUGAGUUGUGGAGUUAAUUUGGUGGGUCAAACCAAGACACUUUCCUAAUGACAUAGAAUAGGAGGGAAUACAUUAGAGGGCAUCAUUCACAGUCAGGUUGAGUACUGUUUCAUGAAACCUCUGUUAUAUUUGUAUGUAUACAUACACACGGUUAAAUACUGGGUUGCAAUGUAAAAUGUACUUUAUAUUGCGAGUCAUGGUUUUAAAAAGUUUGAAAUCUUCAUACUCUGCUAGUGAGAAUGCAAAACGGUUUAACUACUAUGGAAAGAAUCUGAUGGUUCCUCAAAGAGUUAAACAUAGAAUUAGCAUACGACCCUGUAAUUUCACUGUGUACACAUGCCCCAAAGAAAUGAAAACAAGUUAUCAAACAAGUAUAUGUACAUGCAUGUUCAUAGCAGCACUAUGCGUAAUAGCUCAAAGUCUUCAAUGUCUAUCAAUGGAUCAAUGAAUAAACGAAAGGUGGCAUAUAUAUGUAAUGGAAUAUUAUUAAUCCGUAAAAAGGAAUGAAGUUUGGGAACAUGCUACAACAUGGAUGAACCCCCAAAAUGUUAUGCUAAUUGAAGAAGGCUGGAUACAAAAAGGUCACAUAUGGUAUGAUUCUAUUUAUAAGAAAUAUCCAGAAUAGGUAAAUCCAUAGAGACAGAAUGCAGAUCAGCUGUUGCCAGGGGCUACGGGGAGUGAAGAACUGGGAGAAUCUGCUUAAUGGUGAAGGGGUUUUUACUUUGGAGUGAUGGAAAUGUGCUGGAACUAGAUAGAAGUGGUGGUUGUGUAACACCACGAAUGUACAAAAUGUCACAGAAGAGUCACCUUAAAAUGGUUAAUUAUAUGUUGUUUCACUGCAAU
Molecule: long non-coding RNA, 11368 nt
Filed under: Homo sapiens (human)
Lineage: Eukaryota; Metazoa; Chordata; Mammalia; Primates; Hominidae
Description: non-protein coding FRY-AS1:6
Rfam family: Metazoan signal recognition particle RNA (bases 6929-7045)
Source: RNAcentral